RNAcentral lists this long non-coding RNA (763 nucleotides) under Helianthus annuus (common sunflower). RNAcentral describes it as "hypothetical non coding rna". The record is from RNAcentral. Lineage: Eukaryota; Viridiplantae; Streptophyta; Magnoliopsida; Asterales; Asteraceae.
UUGCACGUCUUCUACUUCUGCCCCCUUUCCCUUUCCCCUUUCUCUGUCGAUGAAAGUAAGAUUGCUCAUCUAAUCAAAUCCGGUUCGUUCUUUGUUCUUGUCUGAUCAUGGCUGGAUAUCCUAGAUACUUCGGUCCAGAUGAUCCCAUUUUCAGACAUUUCUAUCAGAUCAAAAGGGGUAAGCGAAUGGGAUGGAUAAUGCACUUGGGCAAUUGAUAAGCGAAUGUGCUGGAUUUGACUCUGUAAAAGGAUUGGUCUAUCGAGCAAGUGUUUGUAGGUUUUGAUAGCAGAAAGGAGUAGCCUUAUUUGGGUGUCUCUGAGAAAGGAGAAGGUAUCAUUUCAUGGGACCAAGUCAAAUGCAAAACUGGAACCCCAAACAUACAAACCGUCUGUAUCCUCCACUUCUAGAAGGAAUAUAGUAAUUUAUAAGGAUUUUUUAUUUAAUUUUGUUAAGUUAUUGAAUGAAAUCAGUUAUUUAAUUUUGUUAAGUUAUUGAAAUUAGAUCGUGGCCUGAAUUUCAGUUCAAAAACAAAAUGGGAUUUAAAAAAGUGAACUUUCAAUCUUAAUAACUGCUCCUUCUAGAAGGAAUUAUUAACUUCAGAAUUAUAUAAGAAUAUAUAAAUUAUAUAACUUUUUAAUUAUUAACUUUAGAAUUAGUAAUUUUUUUCACACAGAACGUGUGUUUUAACACCUGGGUGGGUAGGUGGUUUUCUUUAAUGGGACUGUUUUCUUUUUCAAAAAAUGGAACGUGGGCUGGCUUUCAA